UUCUAUAAAAAUACCUGUACUUUUCUUUUAAAAAAAUGGAAAAAAAGUAUAUAAAAUGACCAAAAGGCAAAGUAAAGAAUUUCUUUUAUAAAAAAUAGAACUAUAUCAAAGGAUGAGAUUUAAAGAAACCCAAAAGAUCUAAUCUUAACCGUCCAUUGUAAAGAUAGAGUAAGAGAGUAAAAAUCCUAGCGGUUAGCACGAAGCCACGGGCAGCACAAUGCACGACAUUCAAUCUCGCCUCUUCAAUCUUCCUGCUCUCUUUAAUCUCCAUCGACAUUCAUCUCCAAAACACCACCAUCUCCAUCGAUAUUCAUCUCUCCAAUCUCCAUCGACAUUCAUCAGCCGUCAGCCCGAACACCACGACAAGUCAACGACGACGAACACCGCUCAUUUUAAGGCUGCUUUUAUAUUCUAGAGAUGUCUAGUGGACAUGGAUCUUCUACACCGGUUAAUGUUUCAAGAGUUGAAGAGUUUUUUGUGAAUGUUGAAGAUGAUUAUAAUGGAGGAGUAGAUGAAGUUAAUGUAGGAAAUGAGCCUAAUGAAGAAGUUUCUGAACCCCUCUUGAUACCACAAAUAAAGAAGUUGAGGUUUCAUUUUAUUUCUUGGUAGGUUUUUGUGGAAAAAGUUUGAGCUAGGUGCAUGAUUUGGUGUUAAGUUUGCGGAACCUAAAAUGUGGCCAUCAUGUGAUGUGCAAAUUGUAUUAGUUAUUGUGGAUUGUAAUGAUAUGAUGAUAAUGAAUUUGUAUUAGUUGUUUGGUUGAGAUUGAUUCGGAAAAACUUGUCAUGUUGAUGUUUGAUGUAUGGUUAAGUACUUUGAGUUUGGUA
Long non-coding RNA from Beta vulgaris subsp. vulgaris (sugar beet), 824 nucleotides. RefSeq lists it as uncharacterized. The record is from RefSeq and is a predicted model, not a curated record. The transcript is spliced from 2 exons. Lineage: Eukaryota; Viridiplantae; Streptophyta; Magnoliopsida; Caryophyllales; Amaranthaceae.